This 254-nucleotide ribosomal RNA is filed under the name uncultured bacterium. Its description in RNAcentral is "partial 16S ribosomal RNA". It matches the Rfam family "Bacterial small subunit ribosomal RNA", at positions 524 to 776 of the family's 1533-position model. The record is from RNAcentral.
UACGUAGGUGGCAAGCGUUGUCCGGAAUUAUUGGGCGUAAAGCGCGCGCAGGUGGUUCUUUAAGUCUGAUGUGAAAGCCUCCGGCUCAACCGGAGAGGGUCAUUGGAAACUGGGGAACUUGAGUGCAGAAGAGGAUAGUGGAAUUCCAAGUGUAGCGGUGAAAUGCGUAGAGAUUUGGAGGAACACCAGUGGCGAAGGCGACUAUCUGGUCUGUAACUGACACUGAGGCGCGAAAAGCGUGGGGAGCAAACAGG